CCCGCCGGAGCGGGAAGCGGUGUUCCCCGAUGGCCGCUCUCGGGCUCCCAGCUCUGCGGAGGCGAGCGAGGUGGGCGCGGGCCCCAGAAGGCGGGGCGCCAGCUCGGAGGGACCCUCACGCCGCGGAGCUGGGGGGCUUCCCGGAGCGGCCACCCUGAAGCCGUGGCGCCGGGGCCUCUGUCCCCGAGUGAUGCCUCGGGAUGAGCCCCUCGGAGACCCGGAGCCGUGGGCUUGUGCCCUUGGGAUGACUUCUCGAGGCCUUCGCGGUGAAGUUCAGGGCCCGAUCCCGCCUACGUGAGACCACGACCUCCUUGUCCACUUAAAACAGGCUGGUAACGGGAACAGAAGCAGGGUGUACCUUCCUGAAAGAAGAUCUACGUGGGGGACCAGACUGUUACACUAGGGUGUGUUGUAUGGAAGACAACUAGCAUGAAAUCAACAAGAAGAAUGCUAGCCAAGUUUAAUGGCAUCAGGUGUCUUCGCUCCACAGAUAAACCUAUCAGAACGGCUAGAUAUUUAUUUCCAUGGGUAAAAGGCACUCUCUCCCAUGGUGCUAGAGGCAAGAUAAAAAUUUGUCUUUUUGAAUAUCCCUUUCAGAGACUCUCUUCCCAUAUUCUUUAUCAAGCUAGAGUACAAAGCAAUUAACUUGGUUUAAGCUCUUCUGUUAACAGCUUCUCUCCAGCUGUCCCUCCUUGAAGUUGCACCCUGAUCACCGAGUUAGGAUUUGAGGUCCUUUCAAAUAGCCUCUUUGUCCUUUCUCUUGAUGAUUGAGAUUUCAUUCUAUAUAUUUGAUCUCUUUCUAAAGUUUAAGUAUUGGGACACCUGGGUGGCUCAGUGGUUCAGCAUUUGCCUUUGUCACAGGUCGUGACGCAGGGUUCUGGGAUCAAGUUCCGCAUCGGGCUCCACGCAGGGAGCUUGCUUCUCCCUCUGCCUGUGUCUCUGCCUCUCUGUGUCUCUCAUGAAUAAAUAAAUAAAUUCUUUUUUUUAAAAAAGGCUCCCUUUGAAGUUUAAGUGUCUAUUGGCCCUGUUGUUGGUUCGAAGCCUUGGGAGCUUCCUGGGUGAAAUCUGAAACUGUUCUCCAUACACAGCGCAAGGAGGGACCAAAGGCAAAGCGCAGAUUGCCAGGUAAUAAGCAAGGCUUGUCAUGGGUGGUGGUAAGAUGAGUAAAUUGCAUCCACCCACCAGAGUCUUAAAAACUAUUCAGAAGCCUUAAUGGGGAUGAUCGGUCAUGUGUACUGUCCAGAUGAUCUUAACACACAUUGCUGUCUCAAGGUUACAUCCUUGAAAAUGGCUCCCACCAUGGGAACAGAAGGCAGAAUGUAUACUCUAAGGGUGAGGGACCCAAUUGCGCAGGUCCAGCCUGAGGGUCAACUGGUAAUCAGUGUCCUCUUGAUGAUUUCCUCCAACACCCAUUUAACCCAUCCAAGAACCAAAACCUGUGUUUAUCUAUUUACUCAACUUUCCUUUAUGACACUACUUGAUGUUAAGACUAACUGCAUAUACUUUUCUAAUCAGAUAAGACCCUUCAACUCCAUUAGGUACAGAGUCAAAAUUCCAUUUGCCCAUUGUUGCAAUAUAGCUAUAAUUAUUUAGAUAGCUCUUAGGUAUUUUCUCCCAUUUCUAAUGAUAAAUUCCAGUAGUGACUGGCUUUCUGUAUAUUUUAUAUGUGCUUCAAACAACAGCUGUCAUUUAUCUACAUUGGUCAUAACAUACUUGAAGAGUGGCCCUAAAGAGCAUCUCCAGGAAUUUGAAGAGCUGGUUUUUGGGGUUUGACCUCAACAGUACCCAUCUGACAAAUGAAUACUCAAAAAGGACCCAAGAACCUAGGAUCCUAGGAUCCCCAUCCUCCACCUGAGCAAGAGAAGGGUGGAAAAAGACAACUGUUGGGGGCAGAAAUGCAACCAGGAAAAUAACACCAGGCAAGAGAUCUUAUGUCAGUGCUUUAGAACAUUCUCAUACCAGGUGAUGCCAACAAUCUAUGAGAUUUUGAGCAGGCUCCAAGAGCUCUUUUAUGAAAGGCUGAAUCCAGACAUUCACGUGGAAAAGCAGAUACUGGAGCUGCUCACACCACAAUAGUUCCUGAUUAUUUUCCAAGAGGAUGCCAGACUCCUGUGGAAACCUCACCCACCGAGUGCAGAGGGUGCUGCAAUUGUUUUAGAAGCUCUUGGGGAGAUAGUGGGGUAAGAGGCAGGAGGUUUGGGCAUGUGGAGAGUUGGGGAAUGGGGAUGCAGAAGGCUGGGACCACCAAGCUACAACAAGAUGCGCAGUCCUAGCAGUGGGAGGAGAUGCUAAGAUGGUCUCUGCCAGGCUGGACUAAAAAUACUGGUCACUGAUCUCACUCCCUCAGAGCUUACCCUACAUCUUACUGCCCUUGGAAAUGAGUGAAGAUUUGUCUUUGUCCAGGUUCCUGGCACAAAACCCUUGUAAUCUCAGCAGUGUUGAGUGUCUUUUGGAUGCUGAAGAGAUGGCUGGUGGCUGGAGGCCCUGAGGGCUGAUACCUAGAAAGACCAAGGCUUGACUAGAAGGUUGGAAGUUUCAGCCCCAUCCCCUGACCUCUACGGAGGGGAGAGGGGCUAGAGUUAGUCACGUAUAUCCAAUGAUUUGAACAAUCAUGCCUACAUAAUGAAACCUCCAUAAAAACCUGUAAACAAUGGGUUCAGGAAGCUUCAGGGUUGGUGAACACAUCCAGGUUCUGGGAGGGUGGCUCACCCUGAGAGAGCUUAGAAGUUCCAAACACACCACCCACCCUCCUGUACUUUCCCCUGUGCAUCUCUGCCACUUGGCUGUUCCUAAAUUGUAUCCAUUCAAAUCAACUGGUAAUAGUGAAUAAAGUACUUUUGUGAGUUCUGUGA
Canis lupus familiaris (dog) is the source of this 2852-nucleotide long non-coding RNA. RefSeq lists it as uncharacterized. The record is from RefSeq and is a predicted model, not a curated record. The transcript has 2 exons. Lineage: Eukaryota; Metazoa; Chordata; Mammalia; Carnivora; Canidae.